Nylanderia fulva is the source of this 330-nucleotide long non-coding RNA. RefSeq lists it as uncharacterized. The record is from RefSeq and is a predicted model, not a curated record. Lineage: Eukaryota; Metazoa; Arthropoda; Insecta; Hymenoptera; Formicidae.
UUUAGAUUUCCCGUUUCGAUAGAUCUCUGACGAUCUUAAGCUGUCGGGAAAUUUGGCUGAAAAGAUAGCCCAUUAAAGCGGUUAACGAAGAACGGUUUCCAAUAACGAUUUCGCUCAGACUUCACUUGAGACCAUUUCCACCCGUUAAGCCGCAUUCACGGAGAGUGGCAGAGUGCACUUGCGAUGCCUGGGAGUGGCGUUUUAUCGUAAGAUGCAUACGCAUAUUCCCGGAGCACUUCGUAUCCAGCUGACUGAAUUGGAUUUUGAAUUAAGUAUGCAAAGUGCAACGCAAUUUAUAAAAACGCUCAACAUUCGUAUUGGGAUAAUGAA